Non-coding RNA from Plasmodium vivax (malaria parasite P. vivax), 73 nucleotides. NCBI's taxonomy places the organism in Eukaryota, Apicomplexa, Aconoidasida, Haemosporida, Plasmodiidae. The record is from the annotation of a RefSeq genome assembly.
CCUGUGCAGGUAUAUGAAGCAGGACUGCCCAUGUAGCCAAUCAUUUUUUUUUUUUUUUUUUUUUUUUUACACU